This 470-nucleotide ribosomal RNA is filed under the name uncultured bacterium. Its description in RNAcentral is "bacterial SSU rRNA". It matches the Rfam family "Bacterial small subunit ribosomal RNA", at positions 8 to 526 of the family's 1533-position model. The record is from RNAcentral.
AGAGUUUGAUCAUGGCUCAGAACGAACGCUGGCGGCAGGCUUAACACAUGCAAGUCGAACGCACCGCAAGGUGAGUGGCAGAAGGGUGAGUAACGCGUGGGAACCUUCCCGGAGGUACGGAAUAACUGCGGGAAACCCAAGCGAAUAACGUAUAUCUCCCCCGGAAGUACGAGUUAUCGCCAUAGGAUGGGCCCGCGUUGGAUUAGCUAGUUGGUAGGGUAAAGGCCUACCAAGGAAACGAUCGAUAGCUGGUCUGAGAGGAUGACCAGCCACACUGGGACUGAGACACGGCCCAGACUCCUACGGGAGGCAGCAGUGGGGAAUAUUGGACAAUGGGGGAAACCCUGAUCCAGCCAUGCCGCGUGAGUGAAGAAGGCCUUAGGGUUGUAAAGCUCUUUUGCCUGGGAAGAUAAUGACGGUACCAGCAGAAUAAGCCCCGGCUAACUUCGUGCCAGCCGCCGCGGUAAUUC